This 716-nucleotide ribosomal RNA is filed under the name Escherichia coli. RNAcentral describes it as "partial 23S ribosomal RNA". It matches the Rfam family "Bacterial large subunit ribosomal RNA", at positions 524 to 1239 of the family's 2925-position model. Lineage: Bacteria; Pseudomonadati; Pseudomonadota; Gammaproteobacteria; Enterobacterales; Enterobacteriaceae. The record is from RNAcentral.
CCCCGGCGAGGGGAGUGAAAAAGAACCUGAAACCGUGUACGUACAAGCAGUAGGAGCACAGAGCAAUCUGUGUGACUGCGUACCUUUUGUAUAAUGGGUCAGCGACUUAUAUUCUGUAGCAAGGUUAACCGAAUAGGGGAGCCGAAGGGAAACCGAGUCUUAACUGGGCGUUAAGUUGCAGGGUAUAGACCCGAAACCCGGUGAUCUAGCCAUGGGCAGGUUGAAGGUUGGGUAACACUAACUGGAGGACCGAACCGACUAAUGUUGAAAAAUUAGCGGAUGACUUGUGGCUGGGGGUGAAAGGCCAAUCAAACCGGGAGAUAGCUGGUUCUCCCCGAAAGCUAUUUAGGUAGCGCCUCGUGAAUUCAUCUCCGGGGGUAGAGCACUGUUUCGGCAAGGGGGUCAUCCCGACUUACCAACCCGAUGCAAACUGCGAAUACCGGAGAAUGUUAUCACGGGAGACACACGGCGGGUGCUAACGUCCGUCGUGAAGAGGGAAACAACCCAGACCGCCAGCUAAGGUCCCAAAGUCAUGGUUAAGUGGGAAACGAUGUGGGAAGGCCCAGACAGCCAGGAUGUUGGCUUAGAAGCAGCCAUCAUUUAAAGAAAGCGUAAUAGCUCACUGGUCGAGUCGGCCUGCGCGGAAGAUGUAACGGGGCUAAACCAUGCACCGAAGCUGCGGCAGCGACACUGUGUGUUGUUGGGUAGGGGAGCGU